CUACGGGACGCUCCAAGCGAGAAAACUUUGCAAUGUGCGAAAGCACGACAAGGUUAAUCCGAGUGGUUUGUGCUAAACGAACCUUUUGACAGUCCUAGAAACACUGUUGAAUAAGGGGUGGGCAGAGUUCUGGGUGUCAGCCGCCGCGGUAAAACCAGCACCUCAAGUGGUCAGGAUGAUUAUUGGGCCUAAAGCAUCCGUAGCCGGCUCUGUAAGUUUUCGGUUAAAUCUGUACGCUCAACGUACAGGCUGCCGGGAAUACUGCAGAGCUAGGGAGUGGGAGAGGUAGACGGUACUCGGUAGGAAGGGGUAAAAUCCUUUGAUCUAUUGAUGACCACCUGUGGCGAAGGCGGUCUACCAGAACACGUCCGACGGUGAGGGAUGAAAGCUGGGGGAGCAAACCGGAUUAGAUACCCCUGUAGUC
Molecule: ribosomal RNA, 424 nt
Filed under: uncultured archaeon
Lineage: Archaea
Description: partial 16S ribosomal RNA
Rfam family: Archaeal small subunit ribosomal RNA
Source: RNAcentral